UCGAACGCGAAAGUUCCCUUCGGGGGAUGAGUAGAGUGGCGCACGGGUGAGUAACACGUAGGUAAUCUACCUUUGGAUGGGGAAUAACAACCGGAAACGGUUGCUAAUACCGCAUAAUGCAGCGGCACCUAAUGGUGACAGUUGUUAAAGCGGGGGAUCGAAAGACCUCGCGUCUGAAGAGGAGCCUGCGGCGGAUUAGCUAGUUGGUAGGGUAACGGCCUACCAAGGCUACGAUCCGUAGCCGGCCUGAGAGGGCGGUCGGCCACACUGACACUGACAUACGGGUCAGACUCCUACGGGAGGCAGCAGUCGGGAAUUUUGGGCAAUGGGCGAAAGCCUGACCCAGCAACGCCGCGUGAAGGAUGAAAUCCCUCGGGAUGUAAACUUCGCAAGAACGGGAAGAAUAAGUAGGGGACAAUACCCCCUAUGAUGACGGUACCGUUUGUAAGCUCCGGCUAACUCCGUGCCAGCAGCCGCGGUAAUACGGGGGGAGCAAGCGUUGUUCGGAUUUACUGGGCGUAAAGGGCGCGUAGGCGGCCAGUGCAAGUCAGUUGUGAAAUCUCCGAGCUUAACUCGGAAAGGUCAACUGAUACUGCUCGGCUAGAGUGCGGAAGGGGCAACUGGAAUUCUUGGUGUAGCGGUGAAAUGCGUAGAUAUCAAGAGGAACACCUGCGGCGAAGGCGGGUUGCUGGGCCGACACUGACGCUGAGGCGCGAAAGCUAGGGGAGCGAACGGGAUUAGAUACCCCGGUAGUCCUAGCCUUAAACGAUGAAUGCUUG
This 779-nucleotide ribosomal RNA is filed under the name uncultured bacterium. RNAcentral describes it as "bacterial SSU rRNA". It matches the Rfam family "Bacterial small subunit ribosomal RNA", at positions 62 to 819 of the family's 1533-position model. The record is from RNAcentral.